Molecule: ribosomal RNA, 106 nt
Filed under: uncultured bacterium
Lineage: Bacteria
Description: partial 16S ribosomal RNA
Rfam family: Bacterial small subunit ribosomal RNA
Source: RNAcentral
UGAGGAAUAUUGGUCAAUGGGCGGAAGCCUGAACCAGCCAAGUCGCGUGAGGGAAUAAGGCCCUACGGGUCGUAAACCUCUUUUGCCGGGGAGCAAGGGCGGGGAC